Molecule: long non-coding RNA, 1394 nt
Organism: Notothenia coriiceps (black rockcod)
Lineage: Eukaryota; Metazoa; Chordata; Actinopteri; Perciformes; Nototheniidae
Exons: 3
Source: RefSeq, a predicted model, not a curated record
AGUGAGAAACUUGGAGGAGCUACUCCAGGAUCACUGAAACUACUCGCUUUUGUUAUUACUUAGUGUGAUUUUGCCAUAUUUCAAAAAUGUUUGAGACUUCCUCAGUCCUCUGUUAGCGUGGCCUACCAACCGCUCAAGCCUUGACCUCAGUCAAUGGAAACACUCUACUGAGCUAAAGCUAAUUAGCAGCAAGAUGCUCUUCUCAGAUGACUACCACAAACCUCUAUCAAAGAUUGCAGUGCUUGAAUAAAAAAUGCACCGGUUGGAAGUGAACAUGGACGUGAAUGGACUAUGUGGGAACGACACCACUUCACCAAUAUUCAAAGAGUGGACAGUGGACACACGGCUAAUGAGCAACAUCAUGACGGCCAUGGAACAGGAGGGCUGUGCACCAGCUCUCUGUCCUCACCUCCAAAGUACAGUCCGGUGGCUGUGCACAUCCUCCACUGGCCCUGGUACAUGCCAGGAGUCGCAGGGCUCUGCAUCUGAACACUGACAUCAGCCACCUCCUGAGGGUCUAAAGACCGCGCCAUCACCAUGUUUACAUGACCGAACUGAUCUCCUCCGACAUACUUCAGGCAAACACCGGGAGGCCAGGACUCUGGACCUGGAACACACACAGAGAAUGUGCUGAACUUGGCUUGAAAUGUCUUUGUGAAAGGUGUGUCUGGUGGAACUGAUUCUCCCUCACCAAUCGUCACGUCACUCACAAAGGACAUGCACGGCGCGCUGAUGUUGGGACUCUCAAAGUCAUAGUAGGCUCCGAUGGCUGCUUGUAAAUUCCUGUGACAUUAGAAGACAGAAAUCCAGGUGAUCAGUACAGAUAUAGAUUCUCAAUAUGAGUAUAACAUAUGAUUUGUUUAGAAGAAACUCCAUGAUUUGUCUGCAGUAUGCACAGAUAUGACACAUUUAGUAGCUAGUUUAUUUACGACAUUUUCAGCACGAUAAAAUACGUUUAUUUAAUAAGGAUUACAUUCCAGCAUAUCAAGGGUUUUACUGAUGCGCCCUUUGUUUGUGAAAUGUAGGUCAUAUCUUUUAUUAAUCAACUUUUGGUCUAUAACUGUCAAACAGUGAAAAAUCACAAUUUCCUUAAGCCUAGUGUGAAUUCUUGAUAUAGCUUGCUUUGCCCAAACACCUUAAACGCAAAUGUAUCCACAAGCUACAAUAACAUUAAUCCAAAUCCUCAGAAUAUAUCCAGCACAUGAAGAAGUUUAGUACAUUUCUGCACUGAACAAUACAGCUAUUCAAUCUUUAAAAAAAAGCAUAUAUUGUACAUGUAAUGGUAUGUUUUUAUACAAUUAUUUACAUAUUUUUUUCUGUUCUAUAAAAAUGUAAUUGUCAACAUUAUUUCUAACAUUUAACAAACUAUAUCAAUAAAUGGUUUUAGUCCUAUA